ACUUAAGAUAAAAGUUUUUAAUCAACGUCGAACAGAACAAAAGUUAGCUCACGUUUCAAUACAUUAUUCGAACUCCAUUGCAAACAUGUUUGCGCAAGCGCAUACAGAUUCCAGUAAUCAAUCGUCGUAUCAAUUGUGCGGUUCCUGUAUAAAGCCGUUAAUAAACGAAGAAAAUCUCAAAAUACUUCGCUAUAAAUGGAUUAAAUGGGGAGUGGUAGGUGUUUCCGUGUCUGCUGGUUGUGGGGUGAUAGGAGCGAGUGUGUUGCCUCUUUUGGGAUUCAAAUUCGGAGGAGUAACUGCAGGCAGUUUUGCUGCAAGUUGGCAGGGACCCGCCGUGGCCGCUGGAUCAGUGUUUGCUCUAUGCCAAUCAUUGGGUGCUACUGGCCUUGGAAUGUUAUUAUUCGGUGCAGCUGGAUCAGCUACAGGUGGAGUUGGUGCUCUUGGAGUCAUCUACAAAUAUCGGAAACAAUUUGAUUGGUGCCGCUGCAAAUCAUAGUUACAAUGACAUAUUCCAACAGCAUUCAGUGGCGGAUUUGCAGUCUUGGCUGCGCUAGGCCCCAGGCCCUGUAGUAAAUACUAACCGUCCCUUUCUCAGCACUCAUAUAGGCUGCCGCCCUUAAUGGCUUGCUGCUCUAGGCCCCCGGCUACUGGGCCUUACAGCUAAUCCACCACUGUCAGUAUUCUGAGUAUGUUGGCACACAGAAUUGAUUGCCUGUCUUUGAAUAACUGCUGUGCUGUUUGAUACACAUAAACAGUAGUUAAUAAAUAAAUGUACAGUUAUAGUAAUUAAGUAUGUAUAGUUCUAACACUUGGAUAAGAUUAUUUAUGUUACUAACACCACACUAACACAAUGAUCCUCAAUGGGCUUAGAAAAACAAAUUAUUUAUUUGUCGGUCCGGGUUAUUCCCACUGGUUACCACAAAGUUGUUACCAGUGGUAACUAUUGGGAGUUUUUUUCCCACCAUUUACCACUAGUGGGAAAAAAAUUUUUUGACAACCAGAGUUACCGCAAAACGCAUAAUUCGAAGCACGAAAUUGUCUUCGAUUUUACGCAUCAAUCUAUAAGGUAAGUAUGUAUCUUUGAUAUAAGAAAUAAUUAUAUAAUAUAUGAAAUUUCAAUUUCAGUAGGUAGAAAAAUGUAUUUCAAAAAUAAUUAUGAAAUUGAAAAUGUUAUAAAUGUAUAAGUAAUGAUUAAAAACUUGAUACGUUUUUAUAUUAAUAUUUUUAAGGGGCUCCCCGUGGUUUUCAUAGAUUUUUGACAAAUCGUUACUCCUCGGUACUUAAAUGUUGUACCCAAGGGCAUACGAAAUUAAGUUUGAUUGCGAAUAGCAAUUAGCAUGCAUCAUGCAUUAAAUUAAGAUUUACAAGCAGAGCAUAUCAUCAAACAAGCAAUAAAUUAAAAUGUCUAGUAUACCACUUAAGGAACUCCCUAGCGCCAAUGACCUGCGAUCUGAAUCCCUUAGUUUUCUAAUGUUUUUUUUUUCGUAUCUUAUCAUAUUAACAGGAACUGUUUUAAGCUACUGUUCCAUAUUUACUUCAAAGUUCAUUGUCUUUGAAAUAUUUGGCAAAGUUGAACAGUUUUAGGCCAAAAAACCGCGGGGAGCCCCUUGAAAAUAUUAAUAUAAAAAUAUUAACAAGUUUUUAAUCAUUAUACAUUUAUAUCAUUUUCAAUUUCAUAAUUAUUUUUGAAAUACUUACAUUUUUCUACCUACUGAAAUUGUAAACUACUGCUUCUAUGGAUAUUGUAAUGUUAAUUUCUUUAUUUAAUUUGCCCAAAACACCAAUAGACCGUAAAACUGAAUACUACUUUCAUAUAUUACAGUGGAUAUCAUUUAUUACGACCUUGGUUGUAGCGACCAUUUACCUAUAGCGACGUUAAAUCUAAGUCCCUUGAAUUUAAAGCAUACUUUAGUACAAAGUUCAUGUGGCUAUAGCGACUUUGGAUGUAACGCCGAGUUCGGGUGUAGCGACUGUUUUUAAUGAAUCAUUUGUAACAAAUUCCUAGAAAUCCCAUGCAGAUAUUGCGACCGGAGUCCAAAGACACAAAGAUUUUUUUCUUUCACAAACAUUUCUUAUCUUUUGUUUACAUCCAUUGCACACAGAUGGUCAGCAAGUGUGGAGACCUUUACCUUUUGUUUAUAGAUAUUAACUAAGUAGGUAGGGAAGCGUGUACGUUUCGGAGCUUUUAUGGUUCAGUUACAAAGUGAUAUUCUGAGUAGCAACUGGGUUUAGUAAACUUUUGAAUAAGUAUGGCUAAUCCUACAACUAAGGAUGUGUUAGGUGUUGUAACAAAGCUUAAAAGAUACUGUUUAUUUGGUGAUGGAAAGGAUAUUAUAGAUAUUGAAGAAGUAAUGAAAAUAGAAUACACCCUACAGCGUACACUAGCACAAAAAAAUAAAUUGAAGCAAACUAAUAUUACACAUUUUUUUAAAUGUACCGGUGAAUAACUAUGUGUGCAAAUAUUUUCAAUAAUAAAUGAAUAUAAACUACA
Cydia pomonella (codling moth) is the source of this 2491-nucleotide long non-coding RNA. RefSeq lists it as uncharacterized. NCBI's taxonomy places the organism in Eukaryota, Metazoa, Arthropoda, Insecta, Lepidoptera, Tortricidae. The record is from RefSeq and is a predicted model, not a curated record. The transcript is spliced from 2 exons.